AUGGCGCCCCCCGCCGUUCCCGUCCGGCACUCCGCCCUGACGGGCUCCCCGCGCUCCGCCCACCCGGACUGGGUCUUACUCAACAAGACGGGCCGCAUCUCCGACGACCGGAACGAGACCACCGCCGAGUGCCGCACUCCGGAGGGCCAGGCCGUCGAGGUGUCCUUCUGCCUCGCCGACCCGCCGGCCGUCUCCCACUUCUCCGUCCACUGCCUCGGCCUCGAGGGCGACGGCUACUCCGACACCGCGCCCCUGCUCAUCUGCGCCGAGGGACCCUUCGUGCUCUUCUGCGUCACCCUCAACGUCCCCGAGCGGGGCUCCGUCCACCACUUCGUCUACUCCGCCCGCGGCCCAUCAGAUAAGCGCCCGUCACUGCACCUGCUUCCCGAACCGGACGACGCUCAGAUCCAGGUGUUCCGGUCCCAGCAGUUUGGCAUCUUGCCCUGCGGCGGCGGCCACUUCGCCGUGGCUUUCCUCGAUCGGGUUUGCCCUAUCAACUGCUGGAGGUAUCACGCCUACGUCUUCUCCUCCACCACACGGGCAUGGAGCAGAACCAAGCCGUCUAUGCCGCCGGACUUGUCCCAGUCCGACCAAGUGUUGCUCGAUAGACAUCGCAGCUGCAAACAGAUCACUGUCGGAGCAAGCUCGCUGGGCUGGGUUGAUCUCUUGGGCGGCGUUCUGCUACUCUGCAACCUCUUCGACAAGCGUCCCGCCAUCGAGUACAUCCCGUUCCCUGCGUCCAGGGUUCCUCUCGCCGACGAGGACAGUGUCGCGGACAUUGCUGCUGCUGCGGAGCAAUUAUGCGAAGACUGCUGCGGCCACCUGAUUAGGUACAUCCGCAGAGACCUGAUCAAGUACAUCCCGUUCCCCGCAUCCUGGGUUCCCCUCGCCGACGAGGACGGUGACGCGGACAGCGCUGCGCGGCACUUCUGCGAUGGCUGCUGCGCAAUGAACUACAUCCCGUUACUCGCGUCCAGGGUUCCCCUCGCCGACCAGGACGGCAUCGCCAGCAUCGCUGCGGAGCACUUAUGCGACGUCUCCUGCUGCGGCGACCUCAUCAAGUUUGUCCAGAUAGAUUUCGAUAAACCUGAUUACGGAAGCGGUGGUGUAACUUGGAAAGCCACCACAUGGAAUAGGAAGCUCUCUUGGUGUUCUUGGCGCGACGGCCACACGGUUGAUGUCGCUGAAAUCUCGGUCGACACAAGUCGUUAUUCCGCUCUAUUGCCUGAGAGUCUGAAUGAUGAGACCAAACAAUUGGAACUGAAGAAUCUCAUUUUCAUUAACCCCACCCUGAGCAUCCAAGAUGACCAUCUUCUCUACAUAAGGGCCAAGGUAAAGGCUCAAGAUGACACGGCAUGGGUCCUCGCUCUCGACAUGAAACAUGCCUCUCUCAAAGCACUAGUCCCAGUUUCCACCCAACCCUUAUGUGGUGUAACCAUGUACUCUCCAUGCGCCUUCCCCAAGUACUACCUCCACAACAUGCCAGCAGAGGCGGACAUGGCCAAACCAGUGGUCAGGCAUGUAUACGUCACAGCAGAUAAAAAAUCUCGCAGGAGGCAGCAACGGAUACUCAACCCCAAUAGCUCUCGACGGAAUCUGGUGGCAUGGGCUGAGCGAGCUGGAGACCAAGAGCGAGCUUCAGUUCUUGAAUUCCUGCUUCUGCAUCGCCGCAACAUUAACUUCUUUGUCUUCAUAGUAGUACUGAUCAUGGCAAAAGUGUUGUCUUAUAUCUACUCUUGA
RNAcentral lists this ribosomal RNA (1740 nucleotides) under Triticum aestivum (bread wheat). RNAcentral describes it as "partial small subunit ribosomal RNA". Lineage: Eukaryota; Viridiplantae; Streptophyta; Magnoliopsida; Poales; Poaceae. The record is from RNAcentral.